RNAcentral lists this ribosomal RNA (301 nucleotides) under uncultured bacterium. Its description in RNAcentral is "partial 16S ribosomal RNA". It matches the Rfam family "Bacterial small subunit ribosomal RNA", at positions 509 to 807 of the family's 1533-position model. The record is from RNAcentral.
CAGUAGCCACGGGAAUACGAAGGGGGCUAGCGUUGCUCGGAAUGACUGGGCGUAAAGGGCGCGUAGGCGGCACAGUCAGUCAGAUGUGAAAUUCCUGGGCUUAACCUGGGGGCUGCAUUUGAGACGGCUGGGCUAGAGUGUGAAAGAGGGUCGUGGAAUUCCCAGUGUAGAGGUGAAAUUCGUAGAUAUUGGGAAGAACACCGGUGGCGAAGGCGGCGACCUGGUUCAUGACUGACGCUGAGGCGCGAAAGCGUGGGGAGCAAACAGGAUUAGAUACCCCCGUAGUCCCUGUCUCUUAUAC